Long non-coding RNA from Sapajus apella (tufted capuchin), 332 nucleotides. RefSeq lists it as uncharacterized. The record is from RefSeq and is a predicted model, not a curated record. NCBI's taxonomy places the organism in Eukaryota, Metazoa, Chordata, Mammalia, Primates, Cebidae. The transcript has 2 exons.
AUAUCUGCAGGGAAACACCACGUUAGCCUUUGAGGAGAGAGGCUAUGCAGGGAUCUAAAUAAGAAAAUGCGUAACAAUUUCAGAAGUGGCAAGAAGAAACAACAGGAUGGAAAAAGAUGUGAAGGAUGUGACAGUGAACGUGGGUCACCCCCAAGGCUCCUUGUAGCAAGACAACACUGGAGAUCCUCUUUUGCAUGAAACUGAUUUAUGCUGCAAGGUCCUGAAGGAAGACAGAUGUUUUUUGUGUUGUUUUGUUUUAGUGCAGUUCUCCAGUAAAAACAAAACCCAGGUGGUAAAGAAAUUCAGUCUUCUCCUUUGGGUCAGUUUACUUC